UGAACGCUAGCGGCAGGCCUAAUACAUGCAAGUCAACUGAAGCACCGGUAGUAAUACUGGUGUGGAGGUGGCGCACGGGUGAGUAACACGUAGGUAAUCUGCCUUCAGGUCUGACAUAACCCCGAGAAAUCGGGGCUAAUAGCAGAUGAUGCAGCGGCUUGACAUCAAGACAGUUGUUAAAGCUUCGGCGCCUGAAGAUGAGCCUGCGUCUGAUUAGCUAGUUGGCGGAGUAAUGGCCCACCAAGGCUACGAUCAGUAACUGGUCUGAGAGGAUGAUCAGUCACACUGGAACUGAGACACGGUCCAGACUCCUACGGGAGGCAGCAGUAAGGAAUAUUGCUCAAUGGGAGAAAUCCUGAAGCAGCAACGCCGCGUGAGGGAUGAAGGGCUUUUGCUCGUAAACCUCUGUAGUGAGGGAAAAAAUUUCCACUCUGUGGAAUAUGAUGGUACCUCAAAAGUAAGCCCCGGCUAACUACGUG
This 479-nucleotide ribosomal RNA is filed under the name uncultured bacterium. Its description in RNAcentral is "bacterial SSU rRNA". It matches the Rfam family "Bacterial small subunit ribosomal RNA", at positions 30 to 507 of the family's 1533-position model. The record is from RNAcentral.